Non-coding RNA from Pelobates cultripes (western spadefoot toad), 140 nucleotides. NCBI's taxonomy places the organism in Eukaryota, Metazoa, Chordata, Amphibia, Anura, Pelobatidae. The record is from the annotation of a GenBank genome assembly.
GCCAAUCAGCAGCAGACCCUCCCUCUCAGACCCUCCCACCUCCUGGACAGCUCACUAACAAUGCAGCUUCACAAUGAAUGUAAAAUGGAUGCUGUCCAGGAGGUGGGAGGGUCUGGGAGGGAGGGUCUGCUGCUGAUUGG